AUUGAACGCUGGCGGCAUGCUUUACACAUGCAAGUCGAACGGCAGCGCGGGCUUCGGCCUGGCGGCGAGUGGCGAACGGGUGAGUAAUACAUCGGAACGUGCCCAGUAGUGGGGGAUAGCUCGGCGAAAGCCGGAUUAAUACCGCAUACGACCUGAGGGUGAAAGCGGGGGAUCUUCGGACCUCGCGCUAUUGGAGCGGCCGAUGGGAGAUUAGCCAGUUGGUGGGGUAAAGGCCUACGAAGGCGACGAUCUGUAGCUGGUCUGAGAGGACGACCAGCCACACUGGGAAUGAGAGGAGGUGCAGACAACUCCGGGAGCAGGAAGUGGGGAUGAUUGGUCAAGGGGCGCGGGCCUGAUCGAGCCAUGGCGAGUGGGUGAAGAAGGCGUUCGAGUUGUAAAGCCAGUUUGUUGGGACAGAAGAACAGCAGGGUAAUACCACGCUGUACUGACGGUACCCAAAGAAUAAACACCGGCUAACUUCGUG
Molecule: ribosomal RNA, 484 nt
Filed under: uncultured bacterium
Lineage: Bacteria
Description: partial 16S ribosomal RNA
Rfam family: Bacterial small subunit ribosomal RNA
Source: RNAcentral